Phalacrocorax carbo (great cormorant) is the source of this 447-nucleotide non-coding RNA. The record is from RefSeq and is a predicted model, not a curated record. NCBI's taxonomy places the organism in Eukaryota, Metazoa, Chordata, Aves, Suliformes, Phalacrocoracidae.
CAGAGAAUUUCAACAACUGUAUGUAUCGCUCUCCUAGUAGAAAAGAAUAAGAGAAUAUACAGAAAAUCUGUCACCAUUGCUUUUUCAGUUACCUCAAAUCCUUCAGAGUUGUUUGUAUUAGGAGGGAGGAAAAGGACAGCACUUUUGUCUAAAUGCCAGGUAUAACAGACAUACCCCAGAGUUGUGGCACCCGUUAAUAGAUCAAGCAAGCCUAUGCAACUGUGUUUUGAUCAGUGGAAAGGUUUCCUGGCAUACGAGAAUUGAAAUCACCUUUUGGGUCAUCACACCUCACUGGAGGUUUCUCUGGUUUAAUGAGCAACUCAGAAACCAUAGAAAGGACCAGAGGAAGGGGGUCAUUGUACAUUCUUAUAUUUGAAAGCCUCUCCAUAGCAUCUGCAAGAGGAUUCUUGGCACCUGCCUAGUUAAACCGGAUGUCCAAUGUUAUGU